UUUAGACACCAGAACAGACCAUGUUAAACAUCCUUAAAUAAAAGACAAAACUAAUUGGCCCCUGUUCAAAUGUCUUUGGUUGGGGCGACCGCGGGGAAAUAAAAAACCCCCAUGUGGACCGGGAGCACAUUACUCCUACAGCCCAGAGUCACAACUCCAAGUAACAGAAUCUCUGACCUACAAGAUCCGGCAAAUAGCCGAUCAACGGACCGAGUUACCCUAGGGAUAACAGCGCAAUCUUCUUUUAGAGCCCAUAUCGACAAGAGGGUUUACGACCUCGAUGUUGGAUCAGGACAUCCUAAUGGUGCAGCCGCUAUUAAGGGUUCGUUUGUUCAACGAUUAAAGUCCUA
Molecule: ribosomal RNA, 350 nt
Filed under: Coptodon rendalli (redbreast tilapia)
Lineage: Eukaryota; Metazoa; Chordata; Actinopteri; Cichliformes; Cichlidae
Description: partial large subunit ribosomal RNA
Rfam family: Bacterial large subunit ribosomal RNA
Source: RNAcentral